This 497-nucleotide ribosomal RNA is filed under the name uncultured bacterium. RNAcentral's name for it is "partial 16S ribosomal RNA". It matches the Rfam family "Bacterial small subunit ribosomal RNA", at positions 28 to 507 of the family's 1533-position model. The record is from RNAcentral.
GAUGAACGCUGGCGGCGUGCCUAAUACAUGCAAGUCGAGCGAACAGACGAGGAGCUUGCUCCUCUGACGUUAGCGGCGGACGGGUGAGUAACACGUGGAUAACCUACCUAUAAGACUGGGAUAACUUCGGGAAACCGGAGCUAAUACCGGAUAAUAUAUUGAACCGCAUGGUUCAAUAGUGAAAGACGGUUUUGCUGUCACUUAUAGAUGGAUCCGCGCCGCAUUAGCUGGUUGGUAAGGUAACGGCUUACCAAGGCAACGAUGCGUAGCCGACCUGAGAGGGUGAUCGGCCACACUGGAACUGAGACACGGUCCAGACUCCUACGGGAGGCAGCAGUAGGGAAUCUUCCGCAAAGGGCGAAAGCCUGACGGAGCAACGCCGCGUGAGUGAUGAAGGUCUUCGGAUCGUAAAACUCUGUUAUUAGGGAAGAACAAAUGUGUAAGUAACUAUGCACGUCUUGACGGUACCUAAUCAGAAAGCCACGGCUAACUACGUG